GGGCAUGCCUAACCUGGCAGUCGAGCGAGCUUGCCUAGAUGAUUUUAGUGCUUGCACUAAAUGAAACUAGAUACAAGCGAGCGGCGGACGGGUGAGUAACACGUGGGUAACCUGCCCAAGAGACUGGGAUAACACCUGGAAACAGAUGCUAAUACCGGAUAACAACACUAGACGCAUGUCUAGAGUUUGAAAGAUGGUUCUGCUAUCACUCUUGGAUGGACCUGCGGUGCAUUAGCUAGUUGGUAAGGUAACGGCUUACCAAGGCAAUGAUGCAUAGCCGAGUUGAGAGACUGAUCGGCCACAUUGGGACUGAGACACGGCCCAAACUCCUACGGGAGGCAGCAGUAGGGAAUCUUCCACAAUGGACGAAAGUCUGAUGGAGCAACGCCGCGUGAGUGAAGAAGGGUUUCGGCUCGUAAAGCUCUGUUGGUAGUGAAGAAAGAUAGAGGUAGUAACUGGCCUUUAUUUGACGGUAAUUACUUAGAAAGUCACGGCUAACUACGUGCCAGCAGCCGCGGUAAUACGUAGGUGGCAAGCGUUGUCCGGAUUUAUUGGGCGUAAAGCGAGUGCAGGCGGUUCAAUAAGUCUGAUGUGAAAGCCUUCGGCUCAACCGGAGAAUUGCAUCAGAAGCUGUUGAACUUGAGUGCAGAAGAGGAGAGUGGAACUCCAUGUGUAGCGGUGGAAUGCGUAGAUAUAUGGAAGAACACCAGUGGCGAAGGCGGCUCUCUGGUCUGCAACUGACGCUGAGGCUCGAAAGCAUGGGUAGCGAACAGGAUUAGAUACCCUGGUAGUCCAUGCCG
Molecule: ribosomal RNA, 800 nt
Filed under: uncultured bacterium
Lineage: Bacteria
Description: bacterial SSU rRNA
Rfam family: Bacterial small subunit ribosomal RNA
Source: RNAcentral